UGGGGGAGUAUUGCACAAUGGAGGAAACUCUGAUGCAGCAACGCCGCGUGAGGGAAGAAGGAUUCGGUUUGUAAACCUCUGUCAUUGGUGACGAUAAUGACGGUAGCCAAUGAGGAAGCUCCGGCUAACUACGUGCC
RNAcentral lists this ribosomal RNA (137 nucleotides) under uncultured bacterium. RNAcentral's name for it is "partial 16S ribosomal RNA". It matches the Rfam family "Bacterial small subunit ribosomal RNA", at positions 354 to 509 of the family's 1533-position model. The record is from RNAcentral.